ACAAGACUUUCCCUGGGACAGCGGCGGUUUUCAGUUGAAGAUACACGAGAGGAGAGACUGAAAAAAGACCAGCAAGGUAAAAUAAUCUAAAUAAGUUAUUUAUUAUCAGACCCGCGGUUGUUGUUUACCCGAACGGGACAUUUUAAAACCGUCAACCGGACGCGUUGCUUAACGUAUAACGGUAAUAUUAGUUUACUAAAGUCAGUAUAAACCCAAUUAAUAAAUCAUACUAUGUGUAUGCAAGCCUACGAGCACGCGCGGUGCGUUAAAUUACACGCUAGUGUUUUCCUUUUAUAAAACUAUUAUGAAGAAAUGCUUAACGUAGCCUAAUGUAUACAUCAAUGAUAUGAAAAGAUCAGAUUUAGUUUAUAACGUUACCUGAGAGAAUAAUUUAUUAAUAAAAAGCAUAUUUAACAAAGUACCCUAAAUUACAUGAAGCUGUGUUACCACGUUGUGUUUAACAUUCUCAUCCGCUUGGCUUUACCUGUUACAUAAAUUAUGCGUUAUUAAUAAGGUGUAUAACUAAAUUUUAUCUUUCAAAUUCGUUAAACUACGUUAAGCAUUUUAGCGUAUGUUAUGUGUGUGUGUGGUGGCCAAUCGGAAAAACAUUAUAUUUUAAAUGUGAAUAUGUUUAAACAUAAAGGCUGAAACCUAAUUUGCAUAAAAUAAAGUUUUAAAAUGUGUUUUUGUUUUGUAUUAAAUUGCUUUUGAGGCCAAUGUAGCUGUACAGUAAAUAUUCAGCCUCGAUCAGAAAACCACGUCCCACUGUCAUAACACACAGACCUGUGGCCAUGUGUAGUGAUUUGAGUAGAGUACAUCUACUCUGGUUAUCAUUUCAAAACAGUAUUUACUGAAAAAUAUGAGUGUUCAGCAUCAUGUAUUAAAUGUGUUAAAUAUGUCCUUUUUUCCCUGCAUUUAUUCUGCUGUCUAAAAUUCUUUGGGAGGAUAAAUGAAGGAGGAUGUAAAAAAAUACACUGCAAGAACUGGAAUGAGAGACAAGUGAGGAUGAAGAGGACAACAGAAUAUCCAUCCUUUCUUCACCACCUCACAGAGUUUGAGUGAAACAACUUGUAUUAGGACUCACAGGAUUAUUUUAUAACAAGACUGAUUAUUUUAUACCAGAAGUAUGGUAUUUUUUGAAGCUACUGUAUUAUUUCAAAUGACAAUUCAUUUUGAUGUGCAUUCAGAACUGUAAGUUGGUAAGUACAUUUACUGUAUUUACUGUAAGUAAAGGCUAAAGAGUAUAUCUCCUCUACUUCUAAUUUCUAGUUCUAAGUUUUAACAACAUUCCCAAAGGUCCCAAUAAUGUUAAGCCAACAUAAAAGUGUCCAGUUUUUCAAUUGUUUAGGAAUGUUUCUUGAUUGUGCAAAUGUUAGAGGAAUGUUACAUUUUAUUUUCAGACAAUGUCAUGUUUAAAUGUACUCACAAUGUUUAAAACACAUGUUUAGUAUAUUUUAUGAAUGUUUGUAUGCAAUAUUUUAACAGAACAUUAAGAAAUAAUGUUUAACAACAGUUUGUAAAUAAUAGAAUGUAAUGUUUUUUUAUCAUUACAAGCAAAAACAUUCAUAACGUUAUUCGGAACUUUGGGAACUUUCAAGGAACGUUCUUAGAACCUUUCUCUGUGGUUGAGCAUUGUGUUAGCAUCAUUAAACACCAUGGGUUCGAACAAGGGAAUGCACAUGGUGAUAAAAAAUGUAUACUUUGCAUUGCACUGUAUGUUAUUUGCCUUUUUCUGUAAAUGUGAAGAUAAAUGUAAAGACAGACAGUCAUUGUUUCAUUUUAAACCAGUUAUACU
Molecule: long non-coding RNA, 1795 nt
Organism: Paramisgurnus dabryanus
Lineage: Eukaryota; Metazoa; Chordata; Actinopteri; Cypriniformes; Cobitidae
Source: RefSeq, a predicted model, not a curated record